AGUGGGGAAUCUUGCGCAAUGGGCGAAAGCCUGACGCAGCAACGCCGCGUGCGGGAUGACGGCCUUCGGGUUGUAAACCGCUUUCAGUGGGGACGAAAUCAGACGGUACCCACAGAAGAAGCCCCGGCCAACUACGUGCCAGCAGCCGCGGUAACACGUAGGGGGCGAGCGUUGUCCGGAUUCAUUGGGCGUAAAGAGCUCGUAGGCGGCUCAGUAAGUCGGGUGUGAAACCCUCAGGCUCAACCUGGGGACGCCACUCGAUACUGCUGUGGCUAGAGUCCAGUAGGGGAGUGUGGAAUUCCCGGUGUAGCGGUGAAAUGCGCAGAUAUCGGGAGGAACACCAGCGGCGAAGGCGGCACUCUGGGCUGGUACUGACGCUGAGGAGCGAAAGCGUGGGUAGCAAA
RNAcentral lists this ribosomal RNA (404 nucleotides) under uncultured Acidimicrobiales bacterium. Its description in RNAcentral is "bacterial SSU rRNA". It matches the Rfam family "Bacterial small subunit ribosomal RNA", at positions 353 to 772 of the family's 1533-position model. The record is from RNAcentral. Lineage: Bacteria; Bacillati; Actinomycetota; Acidimicrobiia; Acidimicrobiales.